AGAGAAGCGCAAACGGUGGAUGCCUUGGCAGUAAGAGGCGAAGAAGGACGUGGAAUCCUGCGAAAAGCUAUGGGGAGCUGGAAACGAGCGUUGAGCCAUAGAUGUCCGAAUGGGGGAACCCGGCUGCAGCGAUGCGGUCAUUUGCAUUUGAAUACAUAGGAUGCAAAGGCGAACUCGGGGAACUGAAACAUCUAAGUACCCGAAGGAAAAGAAAUCAAGAGAGAUUCUCCAAGUAGCGGCGAGCGAACGGGGAGGAGCCUGGCGUGAUUUAUUAUUGAACUGAGUAGAACAAUUUGGGAAAGUUGGCGAUAGAGGGUGAAAGCCCCGUAUACGAAGGUUUGAUGAGGAACUAGGCACGCGAACAAGUAGGCCGGGACACGUGAAAUCCUGGUUGAAGAUGGGUGGACCAUCAUCCAAGGCUAAAUACUACUUACUGACCGAUAGUGAACCAGUACCGUGAGGGAAAGGUGAAAAGAACCCCGGAGAGGGGAGUGAAAUAGAAUCUGAAACCGUUUGCGUACAAGCAGUGGGAGCAUGGUUUAGGCUGUGUGACUGCGUACCUUUUGUAUAAUGGGUCAGCGAGUUACUUUCAGUGGCGAGGUUAACUGCAUAAGGGAGCCGUAGAGAAAUCGAGUCUGAAUAGGGCGAUAGUCGCUGGGAGUAGACCCGAAACCGGGCGAUCUAGCCAUGUGCAGGAUGAAGGUUGGGUAACACCAACUGGAGGUCCGAACCGGGUAAUGUUGAAAAAUUAUCGGAUGACGUGUGGCUAGGAGUGAAAGGCUAAUCAAGCCCGGAGAUAGCUGGUUCUCCCCGAAAGCUAUUUAGGUAGCGCCUCGUGAAUGAUUACUGGGGGUAGAGCACUGUUUCGGCUAGGGGGCUGUCAUGGCUUACCAAACCGAUGCAAACUCCGAAUACCGGCUAAUUGAAUCACGGGAGACACACGGCGGGUGCUAACGUCCGUCGUGGAGAGGGAAACAACCCAGACCGCCAGCUAAGGUCCCCAAGUACUAGUUAAGUGGGAAACGAUGUGGGAAGGCAUAGACAGCCAGGAGGUUGGCUUAGAAGCAGCCACCCUUUAAAGAAAGCGUAAUAGCUCACUGGUCGAGUCGGCCUGCGCGGAAGAUGUAACGGGGCUAAAACUAGUCACCGAAGCUGCGGAUGUGCGCGAAGGCGCACGUGGUAGGGGAGCGUUCUGUAGGCUGAUGAAGGUGCAUUGAGAAGUGUGCUGGAGGUAUCAGAAGUGCGAAUGCUGACAUGAGUAACGAUAAUGUGGGUGAAAAGCCCACACGCCGGAAGUCCCAGGUUUCCUGCACGACGUUAAUCGGAGCAGGGUGAGUCGGCCCCUAAGGCGAGGCUGAAGAGCGUAGUCGAUGGGAACCAGGUUAAUAUUCCUGGACUUUUUAUAAGUGGUGAAGUGGGGACGAAGAAGGCUAGGUGAGCCAGGCGUUGGUUGUCCUGGUACUUGCAUGUAGGGGGGAAGACUUGGCAAAUCCGGUUUUCCAUAACUCUGAGGUGCGAAGUGGUUCUGACCUUUUGGUACAGAGAAGUCAUUGAUGCCCGGCUUCCAGGAAAAGCUGCUAGCCAUAACUUAUAGAGAACCGUACCGCAAACCGACACAGGUGGACAGGUAGAGAAUACUAAGGCGCUUGAGAGAACUCGGGUGAAGGAACUAGGCAAAAUGGUACCGUAACUUCGGGAGAAGGUACGCCCUUUCUGGUGAUGGGAUUUACUUUCAGAGCUGGAGAGGGCCGCAGAGACCAGGUGGCUGCGACUGUUUAUUAAAAACACAGCACUCUGCAAAUUCGUAAGAAGACGUAUAGGGUGUGACGCCUGCCCGGUGCCGGAAGGUUAAUUGAUGGGGUUAUCUUCGGAGAAGCUCUUGAUCGAAGCCCCGGUAAACGGCGGCCGUAACUAUAACGGUCCUAAGGUAGCGAAAUUCCUUGUCGGGUAAGUUCCGACCUGCACGAAUGGCGUAACGAUGGCCACACUGUCUCCACCCGAGACUCAGUGAAAUUGAAAUCGCUGUGAAGAUGCAGUGUACCCGCGGCUAGACGGAAAGACCCCGUGAACCUUUACUAUAGUUUUGCACUGGACUUUGAUGAUGACUGUGUAGGAUAGGUGGGAGGCUGUGAAGUGAG
Molecule: ribosomal RNA, 2138 nt
Filed under: Legionella pneumophila
Lineage: Bacteria; Pseudomonadati; Pseudomonadota; Gammaproteobacteria; Legionellales; Legionellaceae
Description: partial 23S ribosomal RNA
Rfam family: Bacterial large subunit ribosomal RNA
Source: RNAcentral